CAGAACUGGCCUUUAUUAAACCUCUCCCUGUGCCUUCUGCAUGACAAAUAUCAUCUCAUGAACUAAUCAAUGAUUCCUCUGUGAGGAGGUUGUUAUCUCCAAGUCACAGGGCCAAGAUGAAGACCACGUGAGACAGGUGUCGGCAACCUACAGCCCAUGAGUCAAAUCGAGCCCACUCCCUCUUUUUGUACAACCCACAAGCUGAGAAUGGCUUUUACAUUUUAAGGGGUUGGGGGAAAAAAUCAAAAGAAGAGUAACAUUGUGACGUGAAAGCUGUA
Molecule: long non-coding RNA, 278 nt
Filed under: Equus caballus (horse)
Lineage: Eukaryota; Metazoa; Chordata; Mammalia; Perissodactyla; Equidae
Description: lncRNA (ENSECAG00000044350.1)
Source: RNAcentral